UACAGAGGGUGCAAGCGUUAUCCGGAUUUACUGGGUUUAAAGGGUGUGUAGGCGGGCUUUUAAGUCUGGGGUGAAAUCCCGAAGCUCAACUUCGGAACUGCCUUGGAUACUAUUAGUCUUGAAUUAUGUUGAGGUUGGCGGAAUAUAACAUGUAGCGGUGAAAUGCAUAGAUAUGUUAUAGAACACCGAUUGCGAAGGCAGCUAACUAAACAUAUAUUGACGCUGAGGCACGAAAGCGUGGGGAUCAAAC
Molecule: ribosomal RNA, 250 nt
Filed under: uncultured bacterium
Lineage: Bacteria
Description: partial 16S ribosomal RNA
Rfam family: Bacterial small subunit ribosomal RNA
Source: RNAcentral